Long non-coding RNA from Notolabrus celidotus (New Zealand spotty), 599 nucleotides. RefSeq lists it as uncharacterized. The transcript has 2 exons. The record is from RefSeq and is a predicted model, not a curated record. NCBI's taxonomy places the organism in Eukaryota, Metazoa, Chordata, Actinopteri, Labriformes, Labridae.
UGUCGUACUUCCUGUGUGGCAACUACAACACAGGUGAUGGUGUUUCAGGCAGUCCCUUACAAGCACUGCAUGGAUGAGCAGCCACCACGAGCGCAAGCUGGUUAAGAGCCCCUGGAACGCAACCACCUCUCAUGGGAGAGGAGAAGAGAAGAGGACAAGGAAACUCUGUUGAGGAUUUGCAUGGUCAGGUUUUUUUGCACCCACCAGGAGUUGGAGUGUGGAUUCGGCGGAUCUGUGAUGGCGAGCCACGAGGAGAUGGACUGAACACAAUUACGUGUAGAGCUACAACCCCCAAGAUGUGAACUGAACUCAACUACACGCAGAGCUACGACCCCGAAGAACUGGACUGAACUCAAGUGCACGCAGGAGGUGGCAAGCGAGGACUGUGUCCACAGUCCAGUGGUUGGACUGAACUGUUCACCCGUGCGGUUGCAGCGCACAUGUUUGAGUAACGAGAGUUAGAACCAAGAGUAAAGGACUGAUUUGUUUAUUUUCUUUUACUUGCCCGGGUAAGAUGUGUGAUGUCAUGAUUAAUGUUGUGAUGAUUGUGUUUCCUCCUCAACCAAGUAAAUGUGAGGAGAGAUCCUUUAAAGGAAAAA